CGGGACACGUGGUAUCCUGUCUGAAUAUGGGGGGACCAUCCUCCAAGGCUAAAUACUCCUGACUGACCGAUAGUGAACCAGUACCGUGAGGGAAAGGCGAAAAGAACCCCGGCGAGGGGAGUGAAAAAGAACCUGAAACCGUGUACGUACAAGCAGUGGGAGCACGCUUAGGCGUGUGACUGCGUACCUUUUGUAUAAUGGGUCAGCGACUUAUAUUCUGUAGCAAGGUUAACCGAAUAGGGGAGCCGAAGGGAAACCGAGUCUUAACUGGGCGUUAAGUUGCAGGGUAUAGACCCGAAACCCGGUGAUCUAGCCAUGGGCAGGUUGAAGGUUGGGUAACACUAACUGGAGGACCGAACCGACUAAUGUUGAAAAAUUAGCGGAUGACUUGUGGCUGGGGGUGAAAGGCCAAUCAAACCGGGAGAUAGCUGGUUCUCCCCGAAAGCUAUUUAGGUAGCGCCUCGUGAAUUCAUCUCCGGGGGUAGAGCACUGUUUCGGCAAGGGGGUCAUCCCGACUUACCAACCCGAUGCAAACUGCGAAUACCGGAGAAUGUUAUCACGGGAGACACACGGCGGGUGCUAACGUCCGUCGUGAAGAGGGAAACAACCCAGACCGCCAGCUAAGGUCCCAAAGUCAUGGUUAAGUGGGAAACGAUGUGGGAAGGCCCAGACAGCCAGGAUGUUGGCUUAGAAGCAGCCAUCAUUUAAAGAAAGCGUAAUAGCUCACUGGUCGAGUCGGCCUGCGCGGAAGAUGUAACGGGGCUAAACCAUGCACCGAAGCUGCGGCAGCGACGCUGAUGCGUUGUUGGGUAGGGGAGCGUUCUGUAAGCCUGUGAAGGUGUGCUGUGAGGCAUGCUGGAGGUAUCAGAAGUGCGAAUGCUGACAUAAGUAACGAUAAAGCGGGUGAAAAGCCCGCUCGCCGGAAGACCAAGGGUUCCUGUCCAACGUUAAUCGGGGCAGGGUGAGUCGACCCCUAAGGCGAGGCCGAAAGGCGUAGUCGAUGGGAAACAGGUUAAUAUUCCUGUACUUGGUGUUACUGCGAAGGGGGGACGGAGAAGGCUAUGUUGGCCGGGCGACGGUUGUCCCGGUUUAAGCGUGUAGGCUGGUUUUCCAGGCAAAUCCGGAAAAUCAAGGCUGAGGCGUGAUGACGAGGCACUACGGUGCUGAAGCAACAAAUGCCCUGCUUCCAGGAAAAGCCUCUAAGCAUCAGGUAACAUCAAAUCGUACCCCAAACCGACACAGGUGGUCAGGUAGAGAAUACCAAGGCGCUUGAGAGAACUCGGGUGAAGGAACUAGGCAAAAUGGUGCCGUAACUUCGGGAGAAGGCACGCUGAUAUGUAGGUGAAGCGACUUGCUCGUGGAGCUGAAAUCAGUCGAAGAUACCAGCUGGCUGCAACUGUUUAUUAAAAACACAGCACUGUGCAAACACGAAAGUGGACGUAUACGGUGUGACGCCUGCCCGGUGCCGGAAGGUUAAUUGAUGGGGUCAGCGCAAGCGAAGCUCUUGAUCGAAGCCCCGGUAAACGGCGGCCGUAACUAUAACGGUCCUAAGGUAGCGAAAUUCCUUGUCGGGUAAGUUCCGACCUGCACGAAUGGCGUAAUGAUGGCCAGGCUGUCUCCACCCGAGACUCAGUGAAAUUGAACUCGCUGUGAAGAUGCAGUGUACCCGCGGCAAGACGGAAAGACCCCGUGAACCUUUACUAUAGCUUGACACUGAACAUUGAGCCUUGAUGUGUAGGAUAGGUGGGAGGCUUUGAAGUGUGGACGCCAGUCUGCAUGGAGCCGGCCUUGAAAUACCACCCUUUAAUGUUUGAUGUUCUAACGUUGACCCGU
This 1833-nucleotide ribosomal RNA is filed under the name Escherichia coli. Its description in RNAcentral is "partial 23S ribosomal RNA". It matches the Rfam family "Bacterial large subunit ribosomal RNA", at positions 418 to 2236 of the family's 2925-position model. The record is from RNAcentral. Lineage: Bacteria; Pseudomonadati; Pseudomonadota; Gammaproteobacteria; Enterobacterales; Enterobacteriaceae. RNAcentral also lists the same sequence under 1 other name.